Molecule: ribosomal RNA, 460 nt
Filed under: uncultured bacterium
Lineage: Bacteria
Description: partial 16S ribosomal RNA
Rfam family: Bacterial small subunit ribosomal RNA
Source: RNAcentral
CCUACGGGUGGCAGCAGUGAGGAAUAUUGGUCAAUGGGCGUAAGCCUGAACCAGCCAAGUCGCGUGAGGGAUGAAGGUUCUAUGGAUCGUAAACCUCUUUUAUCAGGGAAUAAAGUGUGGGACGUGUCCUAUUUUGUAUGUACCUUAUGAAUAAGGAUCGGCUGACUCCGUGCCAGCCGCCGCGGUAAUACGGAGGAUCCGAGCGUUAUCCGGAUUUAUUGGGUUUAAAGGGUGCGUAGGCGGCCUUUUAAGUCAGCGGUGAAAGUUUGGGGCUCAACCAUAGAAUUGCCGUUGAAACUGGGGGGCUUGAGUGUGUGAGAGGCAGGCGGAAUGCGUGGUGUAGCGGUGAAAUGCUUAGAUAUCACGCAGAACCCCGAUUGCGAAGGCAGCCUGCCAAGCCAUGACUGAUGCUGAUGCACGAAAGCGUGGGGAUCGAACAGGAUUAGAUACCCGGGUAGUC